CUCAGGUCUAUAAUACCCAUUUCACAUUCAAUCUUCACAUCCCAAUCAAAAUUCAAUCUUUGACCUAGGGUUACAAUCUAAAUUCGAUCCCCAAUUUCUCUCUCUCCUCUCUUUCUCUCUCAUCGAACAACAAUGGCGUUCCGUAGAUUCAUCAACGAGCUUCGAGGUGUCACAGUGAAGGAAGUUCCCGACAAGGUGAAGCCUAUGCUAUCUUUCUCCUACCUCAAGGAAUCAUUCACCAAAGGAAUCGACAGUUAUCAUGCUAAAUACAUCGAGACUGAUUCAAUCAUGCCUCUUUAUCAUGUUUGCUUUGGUGGUAUGGCCUUCUCUUACCUUGUUGCUCUUCCCGAGGAACGCCGUCAUCUUGAGCAUGCCCAGAAACAUGGUCAUUGAUCUCCCUCCUUUUUCAGGUUGAAGUUGCUGCAUGUUUGGGAGGUUGUUGGAGUCCGUCAAGUUGUUUUGUUGCUUUUGCCUGUUGAAUUUGUAGAGUGCUUCACAGCAUUAACCAAAAAAAUAAUAAUUUUUGGGAACAUAUUGAUGGGUGAGGUUGAUAUUGUAAACCUCUGAAAAUCAAUUGAAUCUCUGUUCUACAUGUUGAAAAUUAAUUUUUCCAGUUUUGUGGAAAUGUAGCGUUUUUACUGCAUGGGUAAUUAUCCUUUUUUGCUAUGCUGUUUACUGCAGUGCACUUAUC
Chenopodium quinoa (quinoa) is the source of this 691-nucleotide long non-coding RNA. RefSeq lists it as uncharacterized. Lineage: Eukaryota; Viridiplantae; Streptophyta; Magnoliopsida; Caryophyllales; Amaranthaceae. The record is from RefSeq and is a predicted model, not a curated record. The transcript is spliced from 2 exons.